This is a long non-coding RNA of Aethina tumida (small hive beetle), 2100 nucleotides long. RefSeq lists it as uncharacterized. The transcript is spliced from 4 exons. The record is from RefSeq and is a predicted model, not a curated record. NCBI's taxonomy places the organism in Eukaryota, Metazoa, Arthropoda, Insecta, Coleoptera, Nitidulidae.
UAUCUGUUGAUAUACCGCACGGUAUAUAUAGCUUGUGUCAAUCGUUAUGGGAGGAACCACGAGGAUAGUUGGGGAACUUGGUUAAUUUUCCCGGUUUUACUUGGUCAUCCCCUGGGAUACUGAUUGCAUACUGUGUGCUAUAUUUGUCUUGGUCAUGUGUGAAACUAAGAAAAACCAAGGACCACGUGUUAGUGCAUAAAACUUUAGUGACUGAGAGUUAGUGUUUUUAUCGUACCCUGGUGCCCUAAAUUACGAAUACAGAUAGGUCUAACGCAUUAAAAUUGCGACCGUGGCAAAUACAUAUAUACGUAUCAAACUGGAAGUUUUAAAAAGGAAUUUCUAGAAGCGAUGUCUUAAUACUGUUCUUACAAUUUAUACAAGCUUGAAAGUGGAGGUAUAAUAACAAGCUUCUCUGAAAUUUGAUGGACCAUUGUCACAAGAAGAUUAAGAUGUGAAGUAUUUUUAAACAUUAUAUUAAUGAAAGAACUAAUUUCGGACCACCAUUGAUAUUUAAAAUAAUAAGAAAUGAUGUAUAUUACUUAAAACAGGUAAUAUUUUAAGUAAUAAGGUUAAAUUAUUGUUCCUGUUAAAUUUUUAUUAAAAUUUAUAUAUUAUUGGGUAUAUUAUAGGUAUAUAAUUUGUUUUUGUCAAAAAUAAGGUUUAUAACCUACUGCUCCACAAACAUUAGGGUUGUUAAUUUGACAAUUAUUUCAUGUAUCCAACAAAAACGUGGUGGUUCGCUGGGGUGUGUCUAUUAUUAUCAGUCAUUCAUUUUUAUCUAAACUGAAAAUAAUGACACAAAUUUUCUUCUUCAACUUCUUUUUCUGCUUCAUUUUGUGUUCAUUCGGAACGAUAAUAAUCUUACCUAGUAUUAGCUGAAGUUGAACGUAUCCUUCCUAAUGUGGAACUUCCUUUAUUCCCUCCACCGUCACCUCAUAUAUUUAACGUCCUAUCUUUUGAUGUGGUUAAACAGACGUGUCACUAUAAAUUGGGCAUCUACAGAAAAUAUUCUAAAUUGCCAUUUUUAUGAUUCUAUAGAUAUUCAAGUUACUGAGCGUCGUAAGCUUCAAAUUUAUAAGUUGUACAGAAAUUAUGCGAGGGAAUGCUGUCAUUAGUUGUGGUCGUCUAAAAUUUUUUGAAACGACAAUUUGAAGCAGUUCCCUGAAGAAUAAAACAUAGCUUUGAUCACACCAGUUCGCCAAAAAAAAAGAAUCUUUAUUACCAGCAUUAUGCCCAUGGUAUGCCAUUCUACAAUGUCGCAGAAUAUGCCCCAGGCAGCACCUGUGACGAUGCUUCAUCAGUCCCAUCCUCAGAUACAAAUCCAGGGGCCACCCCACACAACCCCAAAUCCUAUCUGAGGUAAUGCAGCCCCAUAUGCAAUACCAGAUGCCUCCUCAAAUGCGGUACUAGUUCCCUCUGCACAUGCAGUACUAAAUGCCGCCUUACAUGCAGCAUCAGAUGCUGCUACUAUCUGAGACAAUGCCAUCUUAUAUCAAUAACGAAAAAUGAAUGAUGGCUCCAGAUUCACAAGAGCAAUUUACAAUUCUGUAGUACAUUCUCGUAGACGAAUACUGUCGAAAUUUCAACCCUUUUUUACCAAUUUUUAUUUAUUGCCGUAAAUGUCUACAGUUAUUUAUAAUACAUUAUGCACAUACAGUAUGUACAUCUUGGAUCCUGCAGGACUUUGUUUUUUUUUCAUUGAUUAGUCUAUAUAUUUCGGGGCCUGGUUUUGGCAUAGGGGCCUUGUUUUUGUAACAAUAUCACAAAUAACAAAUACAAUUUAAGGAAUCAAUCCGUCUGUACCGUCUGUUGUCGCUUUUUGUCAUAUUUUCGAUGAUUUUAUCUUGGCCUGGACUUUUUGAAGCUUUUAGGAGUUUGAUAGUUUUUGCCCCAACACUUCAAUAGGUGGAAUCUGGUGUUUAGGCGGGAAUUUUAUGGAUCUCUUGGGGGUGUGUGAGUAUCGCCUGCGGUCGGAUAUUUUAUUGAGAAGGCUCAGAUCUGCCGUCUUUGAUUUUUCGAUUUCUCAAGAAUUCCUGAAAAGGAAAUAUCGCAAAUAGUUUUAUUACUGUUAUUUAUUUGAUGAUUUUUCCUACAAUAAUU